RNAcentral lists this transfer RNA (76 nucleotides) under Thermoguttaceae bacterium. RNAcentral's name for it is "tRNA-Pro". It matches the Rfam family "tRNA". Rfam says of the family: Transfer RNA (tRNA) molecules are approximately 80 nucleotides in length. Their secondary structure includes four short double-helical elements and three loops (D, anti-codon, and T loops). Lineage: Bacteria; Pseudomonadati; Planctomycetota; Planctomycetia; Pirellulales; Thermoguttaceae. The record is from RNAcentral.
CGGGGCAUGGCGCAUUCUGGUUUAGCGCGUUUGACUGGGGGUCAAAAGGUCGCUGGUUCGAAUCCAGUUGCCCCGA